GAACGACGAACCCUAGGGUGGUUUAAUCUCGCUUAACACGAAGUUCCCGACCCAGGAGUGACAUUCACUUUGUCUCGGUAUUUGUUCCUCCAUGUGUCUUAACGAUUUUGUAUGUGUUAUCAUAUCAACACUAGAAGGUAACAAUCAAGAAGAAGAAUGGUCAACAAUUAAACGAGUGAUAUAGUCGAUUGAAUUCUUCUUAUCACCAAUUACAAGAUUGAUUGAAAGGAAAAAUGAAUUAUAGAAAGAAAAAUAUAAAUGACCUAACAAAUGUGAUUAACUACCCCCCUUUUAACAACUAGGUGCUAAUUAACAAACUAUUAACCAAAGUUAUAGAAGUAACCCCCUAAACUAUUACUAUAUUGCAACCAGCAACAUUUUAACCAUUCACAUAAUCCCCAAACACUGCUGAAACUGAGAACUUGGCAAAGUCUAUUGCUGAUUCUCCUGUAUCAACCAACCCAAUUAAUGAAACAAAACGAAAGAAAACAAAUGAAACAGAAUUCAAGAAGAUUCUAAAUAUGUUAAUCAACAUAACUGCUUCUGAGAUUUAGACAUCACUACACAUGAACAUUGAUCAUUUCAAUCCUAAAACCUACAAAAUACAUACCCAAGUAAGAACGUAGACGGUACAAGCUUUACCUUUGUUAUUGAAUAUUGACAAUGAACCGACAGAAUUGCAGUAACAAAUCUAUAAACAUGCUGCAAUGAAUUCAAAACAAAUGGAAGAUAUAUUUACGUACCUGAAAGUGAUCUGCGAGAAGAUAACUGGAAAUUUAGGUGUCGGUUGAGUUGGAAGACGAAAGCAACGUUACAGCUCCGACGCCUUAAAGAUUGAAGCCAUUUUCUUGCUAAUUUCUACAGGAGAAUAAAUCUUGCAAGAGGAUCAACUGAUGAUCAAGUUCAAAACACACACAUUCACAACACUUUAUACGUUAUAGUGUGUGGGGGAGGCAGCGAAAACGAUGAUGCUUUCUUGCUGUUGAUGUUGUCAGUGUAAACAAAAGAUGUCACACUGCUAAAGAUGAAAUGCGACUGAGGACCUAAAGUUGAAAUGAUUUUGAUUUCAAUAGACUUGACAUCAGGCUUCUUCACUUCUUCUUUGGGCACCGUAAUUGUGAGCACACCGUUUUCCAUGGCCGCCUUCACCUGAUCCAUUUUGGCAUUCUCCGGCAACCUGAACCUCCUUGUGAAUUUCCCGCUGCUUCGUUCUACCCGAUGCCAUUUAUCAUUCUUAUCUUCUUUCUCCACGUUCCUCUCACCGGUGAUCUGUAAGAUGUUUCCGUCUUCUACCUCCACUUUCACUUCUUCUUUCUUCAUCCCAGGAAGAUCCGCCUUGAACACAUGAGCUUCUGGCGUUUCCUUCCAAUCCACACGGGCGUUUACCAAAGCAGAAGUUUCCCUUGAAACAUCAGAGGAAGAUGAAAGGGGGAAGUCUCUGAACGGGUCCCAAACGUCGAGGGAAAAGGGGUCGAAGAUGCUGCUCCGUCGGCCACCGAACAAGCUGGGGACGAUCGACAUGUGCUAAUGUUUGGCUGAAACUGUGAAAAGAUUGAAGAAUUUGGUAAUUUGCUGAUUGGAUUGUUUAUGUUGGUGAUUUUGAGGGAGCAGGGACGAUUUAUAUAGUUUGGAUAGGGAUAUUCGGGAACUUUCAGGAUGACUCGUGUGUGUGAAGAAGAAUAACGAUGAAGAAGCUUCUUGAGCCUUCUACGGCCAAUCAUGUGU
Molecule: long non-coding RNA, 1725 nt
Filed under: Helianthus annuus (common sunflower)
Lineage: Eukaryota; Viridiplantae; Streptophyta; Magnoliopsida; Asterales; Asteraceae
Description: hypothetical non coding rna
Source: RNAcentral